This is a long non-coding RNA of Helianthus annuus (common sunflower), 1873 nucleotides long. RefSeq lists it as uncharacterized. Lineage: Eukaryota; Viridiplantae; Streptophyta; Magnoliopsida; Asterales; Asteraceae. The transcript has 3 exons. The record is from RefSeq and is a predicted model, not a curated record.
UCGUUUCGAGUUUUUUUUAGCCGAGCCAACUUGCUUGCACCCCUAGGCUAACAUGAUGCGGAUGACACGUGGCGAAAAAAGCCAUUUAUGGUAAGAAUUGCUAUUAAAAAUACAACUUGUAUUUACUACUUAGAAAAAAUAAAAAUUUUUGGGCUAAAAGUACAAAAUUAAGUAGUUUUGGGUUAAAAAGGUAAUAUCAAUUUUUUUAAAAAAAAGCCCUUAUGCAUCAACUUGUUGCAAAUUUAGACUAUGUAAAUAAUAGUAAAAUUCAGUUUUUAAAUCCAAAAGACAGUAAAUUCAGUUUAAUAUAUGAUGCCCAUAUAUUAUGAAGCCCAAAACCAUUGAUCAACACACCCUCCACAGUAUGAAGCCCAAACCCACAUUUGUAACUUGUAAGAAAAACCAAAUGGCAUUUCACAGACCAAAAGCAAACCAAAAAUUGGGGAUCUGAUGCUCGGAAAAUCAAAUGAGGCUCCGGCGAGAGAGAGAGACGGGGAGUUUUUAAGGGUAGUUGCCCCUUUCUUGCCAUAACAUGAUCUGAUCGGAUCGUGUUGAGCCAGUGAGUUUGACCCCCAUUUUUGCAUAAAAUCAACAACCCUUGGAAGACAGGACAAGAAAGCAUGAUAAUAUGAUGGAUAGAUCAUAGUCACUUGAUAGAACCCCACUCUUUCUCUUUCUCUCUCUACAUAUAUAUUCCUGUUUGUGUGUGUGACUGUGAGUGAAUGCUCUUCUACGGGGGUUGUUUGGCCUAGCUUUUUUAACAAAGCUUAUAGCUUUUUUUACAAAAUAAGCUUUUUUACAAUUACGAUAUGUUGGACGGUGAUAUACGAGGGCGAUGAUAGUGAUUUCUGUAUGGAUUUUUAUCCGAGCAUCGUAAUCGGGCAUAGGGUUAAAUUUGGCCCGUAUCUUGGCGAGGCAACCCGGAUGGUAUGUGAAAUGCAACCGGUAUUGUAGCCAUGGCGGUGUCCUAUCCCUUUGCUCGACUUCAAAUUACAGAUCUGAGCCUCAAUUUCUUCAUUUGAAUCAUCGAAUGUUUUCUUUUUCUUUUUCUUUUUUUUUAAAUCAUAGAUUUUAGUGGAUACGCAUAUUUGAGAGAAAAAUGCCCGGAUAGUCCCUGUGGUUUCGCAAUUUUUCACCUAUAGUCCCCAACUUUUUAAAAUUACCUGAAUAGUCCCCAACUUUUCAUUUUUUGUUCCCGGAUAGUCCAUAUGUCUAACUUCAGUUUGUUUUCUCUGUUAAGUGGGUGUGAAAUGACAAAAAUACCCUUUCCUUUAAAAGGCCAAACCACAGGGACUAUCCGGACAUCUUCUACAUUUUUAGAGAAAAACCCCACCACCACACUUUCCGGCGAAAUUAAUUUCCGGCGAUUUUAAAUCUUGAACGCGAGUUAUUCCGGCACCGCCGCCUUUCCGGUGAACUGACUUCGACCACAAAUACACACAUCUUUGAACAAAACAGGAAAACAUUUACAUUACAAGGACUAAAAAAAUUUAUUGUUUCAAAGAACCUUCAAGUAGGCGAUACAGUUACAUUUUACAAAAGACAGUCGAAUGAAACAAUUAUAGUGGAUGUAAAAAAGACUUACGGUGAGACAUCACCUCAUCAGGCAUGAAUCGGCAGUGGAAAGUCACAAGUUAAUCUCGGUGGAUGAAUAUUAUUGUUGAGGGGUUGCUGCUUUAUCUUUUCUUAAAUUUGAAUUUUGAUAUAGUGUUCUGUUGCCGCAGCUGCAAUUAUAGUUGUAAACUUUAAAAUGUUGUUGUGGUAGAUAGGCACACCAUACAUUAUGCUGUCUUUUAUUCAAGGCUUAGACAAGGUGAACUUUUGGCAUGAAUGUGUGUAUGUUGAAUAUUAAUUUGAUCUUAUGAUGUGUUAC